Molecule: long non-coding RNA, 213 nt
Filed under: Lotus japonicus
Lineage: Eukaryota; Viridiplantae; Streptophyta; Magnoliopsida; Fabales; Fabaceae
Description: long non-coding RNA (LJAP_LNC001063)
Source: RNAcentral
GUCAUCACACCACUAUACCCAACGACAGCUUGUCCUCAAGCGUAAACUUAAGGUUGCUUGUCCUCAAGUUCAAGAACACAAUUCCAAGUAAGAUGCUAGUAUACACAUUUUCACAAAAGAUACAUGAGAAUGAAGCUUUAAAAAUUGAGUGACCUUUAGUAAGUGCAAACAAGAAAUAUAGAAAAUGCCAAGAUGUGGGGUUUUACAGUUUAU